Molecule: non-coding RNA, 45 nt
Organism: Schistosoma margrebowiei
Lineage: Eukaryota; Metazoa; Platyhelminthes; Trematoda; Strigeidida; Schistosomatidae
Source: Rfam
AUCCAGCUGACAAGUCCCAAAUAAGAUGAAACGCGUGUCCUGGAU